Numida meleagris (helmeted guineafowl) is the source of this 8177-nucleotide long non-coding RNA. RefSeq lists it as uncharacterized. The record is from RefSeq and is a predicted model, not a curated record. The transcript is spliced from 6 exons. NCBI's taxonomy places the organism in Eukaryota, Metazoa, Chordata, Aves, Galliformes, Numididae.
UAUGAAGUGUUAAUAUUGAUUUCCAUGGGUAUGGGAAAGAGCUAAUGCUAUGCAGUGCAUACUGAAAAUCCUAUGACAGUUACAGGAAGGAGAAAAAAACUCUUUAAAUUGAAGGGUGAAAAUUGUGUAUUAUAACAGUUAUGCCUCUGGGUGGAUGUGUAAGCAUAAGGGUACUGAAAUGGCUUCUUUUCAAAACAUACGUGUUUGUGACAGUUUGGUACUGAAAAAGCCAGUGAGUCACAUACGGAAAACAUAUAAGCUGAGCAAAAGUGUCAAGGUGUGACAGAGGGCAAAGUUAAAUUACUUCAAAUAAGAAAAAAAACAUUAGUUUUCAAAAGAAUAAUUGCUGUGUGUCUUCCUAGGAAUAUAGUUGUAUCAUUAAAAUAUCAUUUAUGUAUUAGACGGAAUUAACUCUUACACUGAGAACCUCGUUACUGAGUGGUGUUAGAAGGAAUUACACAGUAUUUAGCUUCUCUUCCCUCUGUAUUCAAACCCCAAAUAUCUUAUUAAAAGAAAAAAAAAUAAAGAGAAGGAAGCGGAGAGCACUGGUAGCCAUUACAUAUACAUCUGCUACUUGACCUCAGUUUGAAUGAUGUAUACAGAUCCUCUCCACCUUAAAGCAGUACAGUAAAAUGUAAUGGUGUAGAUAGCAUAGCAAAACUCAGUAAGAUACAAAGAAAAGUGAUGAGGAUAAAGAGAAGUUGGGACAGAUUUUGUGCAUGUAUUAAGGGAAAUUCAACUAUGAAAAGUGGGAAAGAGGAGCUGGAAAUGAAAAAUAGAAACAAUAAGGUACUUGCACUCAUAUGCUCAUGCAGGGGUAUCUGUAAAUGACUGGUCAAAAUCACGCUAGUUUUUAUACCAUAAUAAACUAGCUUGAUUUUCAGUUGACACCACUAUCUCUAUACUUACCAAAUAAAUGUACUUGCAUUCUGAAAUGAUGUUUCUUUUUACGAAGGACAAUAAGCCUUUUAUUUUCACAAACAUCGUCCUUACGUACCCUCAUAUAACUUCUACAGAAGUUACUGGAUGUCUUCCAAAUUCUAGGGAAAUGAUAAGCGAGUGGCACUGGACUGAAUAACAGAGAAAGUCUUAUAAAUCUGUAAGUCACAAGUAAAUAGCUUGGCACCCCUUUGGGCCUAAAGUCUUGCAUUUUGACUGCUCUGCUCUUCUUAAUCCAGGAUGAGUUGAAGAAGAAAGAAGACUAAGUUACAAACAUGCUUUUUAAGAUUUGUUAAAUCUGGGAACUAAGCAACGCUGAAUUUGUGUCAUAACGGCGGUUAAAAAAGACUGGUGCGUGUCAGAACUGGAUGUCAAAUUGUGUUGUUCACCGGUCCUACGUCUGAGCUCCUCACCUUGCUUUCCACAUGCUGCUUUGAGGUAGGUGGGAAAGCUUCCUUCUGCAAGCAUCUUUGUCAAGAAUAUUGCACCCACUUGCCACUCGUACUUCUCUGCACUGCAGCAGCAGUGUCACUGUUGGUAUGCUAAGAACAGCGGCCACAGGGGUAUCCCCAUUCACUUCUGUCCGGUCCAGCUUCCCACUGGAAUCCCUUAAUAUUUCUAGGGGCCUGAAGAUGCUGCUGAUUCACAGUAAUUGUCACUUUUGUGUAAUGAAAGGAUUCUGUGAUGUUGGUAGGAUAUUUUCCCUGGGAUCUCAUUAAAGAUGGUGUAAUUCUGUAAAAAACACAAAAAAAUUGGUCAUCCAGACUGUGUCAAAUUCUUCUCGAAGAGAUGUUCAGGCUCGGAUGAGGAUAUAUUUUCCAAAAUGCUAAAACAUUUAUUAGAAGGCGGAAAACAAAAGAAGAACAUAGUCAAGAAUAUUUGCUCUUACUCUGCUCACAAAUCAUUCUCAAACAGACUGAAAUUAAGGAAUUUGCUCUUAUUCAGAAUUACUCAAAAAUAGAUUGUGCAAAAAUAGAACCAUUGUUCACUGGGUCUUUCUGUAAUACUUACCUAAAUCAUAUUCUAUUGUUCCUUUACUUUGAUUAGAUCACUACAAUAUUUUUAAAUCUGUUAAAGGGUGAUCAGAGGUUUUCUAGCGUUGAGUUCUUGAGGCUGUUGCUGAGAAGUAGAAACUAACAAAUCCAUCCAUGAAUUUGAGGAACAAAUAUUUAAUCAAAUUUCAUUGACAACAUCACCACCUUUUAUUUUUGCAAGGCAUAGGUGCCUCUAUUUGACACCAAGUAUGAAGUCCGCUCCAAAAGUAAUGCCUUCUCUUUUAUUGUGUUGGCCCAUGAUGUCAGAGGCAGAUGGUGGUACGACAGUAGAGGCUGAACAUUCUCUCCACUACCCCAUUCCAUGUUGUUGCCAUGCGACAGCUGGCAGCAGAGGGGCACUCAGAACUAAAUGGUGUCAGACAUGGAAGAGCAUGUUAAGCAAAGGGUGUCACUGAAUGCUUCCAUGUGGAAAAAAUUGCACCACUGAUAUUCGACACUUGCUGAAUGUUGAGACUUAGCAGCGGAUGAGAGCACACUGAGGCGGUGGGUGGUGUGUUUCAGCAGCAGCGACAGCUGGUCACCUCUGCUGGUGCAGAUUUUUUUAGCAUGGUACGCAUUCAUCGCUGGUGAAAGUGCAUAGGUAAUGGCUAUGACCAUGUUGAAAACUAGUGUUUUGUAGCUGAGAAUUCUUUCUAUCAAAUAGUGGUCCUGUGCUCUUUGUAUCUGCUGGAGUUUCCAUGGAAAUACAUAGAAUGAAUUACUUUUGGAGCAACCUGGAUAAUUUUUAUAAUGUUUGAAAUAAUUUUAAGGGAGAUGCUGACUCUGGACUGCAGCACCAUACAUUUUCUGUUGCUCAGCUGCCGUAAAUAGAUGACAAAAUAAACUCAAUCUGCUCCAAGGCAUAGCUUUAAAGCAUGUUCAGAAGCAAGUAAGUACUUUACACAUCUUCCAAGGUUUGUUUUAGGAAUCAGAUGAAGAGUGAAAGCUGUCACAGCUAAAGCCCUUUUACAGGCAGAAGGGUCGCAGUGCAGCCUAUGCACUGGAGCUUUUUAACAGCUGCCUAAUUUGGAUCAGGAGCACGGACACUUUCCAAGGACUGACUGCUUCCCCUGAUGAGGGUUCCACACACAUUUCUUUGAGGGCAGUACUGUCUUAAACAUCCUUAUCUCUAACAAGUGCUUCUUGCCCCCCUUCCUGCUGUGCUCGUACAACUCAUUCCACGGCUUAGUAGUAAACUGGACCAGGAAAUGAUACCUAAAAAUAAAUAAAUAAACAAAGCCAAAAUAGUUUUUUUUGAGGGGCAUCGCUUACUGUCAAAGUAAACAGAGAACUAGAGUAUGUUAACUUAAACUGAUAAUUUAUCUCUGCUAUAUUAUCUAUCUAAAAAUACAGUACUUUCAAAUGAUGGAAGCAUGCAUUAGAUUCCUAUUUUUAGGUAAAAUUAUGUUAUUCUUAGAUGAAGUCAUAUUUCCAUUGCCAUACAUUUAAGAUAGCUGUUCGAAAAUAUUUUCAAACUAACUGUAGUCAAAUCAUCUUCUUUUGAAAAUAGAUUCAGAUCAUUUUCUUAUUUAAUUACUCUUAUUUUAAUUGAAAUGUUAGGUGUAGUUAUGCGGAUCAAAUACUGAUGGUGAACCUAGGAAGAGAUGCGUUCUGAAUGUUAACAUCAAAAACUUAUUGUAGUGGAAAUGCUAAGUCAUGGCUUGAAGCACUGAGCACCUGGUGGGAAGGCAGGGUCAACCAGAGGAGCGUGCAAUGAACCUGAGUGACCAGAAGGGGUGGAUCCAGGAUCCACUCCUUCCCAGACCUCAUUUAAGGUUUGGCAGUGGAGGUGAGGGUAUUUCUCUGGAGAUUCCUGUAUACUUGAGGGCUUUUAAAGGUAAGUAGCUUCUUUCCAUUAUUUCUCUGUCCACUUUGUUUGAGCAAAUCCUUGUUUGUGGUAGCCUGGGAUCUUGUUAUCCUGCUGUCAUUGCUGCGCUUUCUGUCACUUAUAUUGUUCUCUUAUUUUCCAUUGGCCAUUUGCAGCUGAUGAGGGAGUUCUUUUUGUUUUCCAAGUAAUUUAAUGAUGUUUCACUCUGUGAAGAAGCUGCAAAUUAAAAUAAAAUCCAUGUUCAAUUUAUCCAGUUAUUAUAUUUCCACCAUGGGAAUACAGUGCACCGUGAAUUAGUUCUCUGUAAUGACUAUCACUUUGUUAGCAUGAAGAUGAUGUGUAUAGAGUUCAUUGUACUGGAUUCAACUCGAUAUUUAUCACGUUCUUUAGAUAAUUAUACCUAAACUUCAUGGAAAGGUAAGCUAGUGAAAGGUCAUAGUUGGGUGGAGCUAAUUUCUUUUUUCCUGCCAGAAAAAAAUGAAUGUCUGUUGCUUUUCUCUGAAAAUACAAGGGAAAAAAAAAAAAAAAGAAAAAAAGAGAAAAAGAGAUUAUCCCACAAUGACUUGCAUGUUGAUCACUUUGUUGUCUUCCCCCAUCCAUCUAAGAAGGUGGGGGAGAGAGUGCUUAGCCACCGGUGUGAUUAAACCACAACUGCACUACUUCAGGUUCCACUGUCUGGAACACAUUGGCUUUACCAGGAAAGUGAAGACAGCAAGCUGCUGGUAAACUACUGCUGGUUUCCAGAUAUGCUGAAGCCAAGCCCUCCUGCUUCCCUAGACCCCUUUUUCAGAGGUAAGAUCCCCAUAACGAAGUGCUUUCUUGUUCAGCUCCGAUUCAAGCAGAUAUUGUCUUGUGCAUGUUUUUCUAUCUGAAGUCUAGCUUAAGCAUUUUAGUAUCUUGAAAUCUUUGAGUAUAUAAGCAAAUAGAAGUAGCACAUAGUUUACCAAAAAAAAAAAAAGAGUUACUGCUAUUGAGUCUUAACAUGAUCCAGCAAUUUUGGUAACAGCAUGGCUCAGACUUAAGAAUACAAAUACAUUUGAGCUGGUAAGUCCAGAGCAACAGUAUUUUUUUCUUAAGUUUGACAGUUUACCUCUGUUACCUCCUCAAAAUUCACACAUUUCCUUGUUCUAGGAAGUUCUGUGGAUUACUGCAGUAGAAUUCCCAGACCACUGAACUUUUCCUGUUUAAAUGGCUUAGACUUAUUUUCUUGUUCUAUUUCCUAAUGAUCUAAGUCAAUUUAGGUUGUACAUCUUGUAAAAUAUCUAUAGCAAACAGGAUGCGUACCCUGUAUGCAUGAUACAGGAAUGUUUCACACCCAUCUACAUAUCCAAAGAUGUCAGAAAAGCAAUCUCCCUGUGCCUCCUGCAACUAUUAAGAAUUAUUACAUGGUGACCUCUCAAAUCAUAGACUAAAGCAACUUUCAAGAACGUGGUACUUAUGCUUAGAAAGCACCUAAACUCAGCUCCUCCCAGCCCUGCCUCUUCCCUUCCAGCCUGGGAACACCACCAGGAAGCAGCCACCACUGUCCAGGAGCCUCCACCAGCACCCAGGACGUGCCAGCCUGGUCCCUCAUGAAUCAGAGCAUCCAGAGAACAUCUCUAUUUUCUAAGAGACUGCCUGUGUUCCCAAGGCAUCCUUGUGGCAGCAGCGGAUGGCAGAGACACUGCAGCCGUCCCCACUUGCCGGGGAGUGUUAGCAUAUAUGUAUGCUUACAAAACUAAAUAUAAAGCUGAGUAGUCUGGGACAGUGGUUAAAAUGGACACUUGCAAAGAUGCUAGAAUUAAACAGCAAUUACCCUAAUUUUGUUCAGUUUAUCUGGCAUAAAAUUGAUAUAACUAACGUAUUUUGAAUAUCUCUCGAUGGUUUUGUGCGUUGUAUUGGCAGUCACUGAAUCUGAGGCAUUGGUAUAAAAAUAAAUUCUCCUCACUGAACAUUCACAGCUCUAGUGAAGAUUAUUCCCAGGACCUGUAACGUGUCGUCCAGGAGGGAUCCCACCUGGAACAACUGAAAUAAAAACUUCAUUUUCCUGCAAUGCUGAAGUCAUACAUUGCAGAAAAAAACUACACAAUGUGAGAAUAUACAUUUUCUAUGAAACGUGCAUCAAGAAUUGUACUCUAAUUGGAAACCCUAACCCAGAAGGGGUUCUAGAAAUGAAGUCAGUGAAAAAACCUAAGAUUUGUUUGGGCUGGCUUGUUUGCAGAAGAUUUAAAAGGCAAAGAGGUUAUGAAAAAUACGAAUAUAUUGAUACUGUUUGAGCUUUCCCUUACGUUCCCUGUAAAUAGACUAGAAGCAGUAUCACGUUAAGACAUCCACUUGGUGUAAUACAAUUACUAUAUUAAAAUUUACGCCGUUCGUUGAAGGACGUCUGCUGAAGCUGCCAAAGCCUCCCUCUUGGACCUUCUGUCACCUUACGCUGUUUAAUGUGACAUGAUUAUCUUAACUGGUUUUGAAAUUCAUCUACAGAUACACAACACGUUUGAACAGCUUCUUUCUUGUGUAGACAAUUCACUUGAGAUGGCGGUGAUAUAAUUCAUUAUGAAAAGACUGCAAGCAAAAUGCUAAAUGUGGAUGUAACUGUUUGGUACUGGAGAACUGCCGUCUGGAAACCCUAUAAUUUAAAGAAGCUUAGGUCUCCAAUGUGUAGCCUAGGCUUGGCUCUUGCUAUAAUGACAUUUUCAUGUUCAUUGUUCUAGAGCCUUUCCAUAUGGACCUGAGGGAACACUACGGUAAGAACAAAUUCAGAAGAGAUUACUUAGUCAAUGUCUAGAAGGAACAGACCAGGUCAAAAUGCUGAAACUAAGUUGAUCAUCAUGUUACAUUUUGGCCACCUAAAUGGUGACUGUUUCAUAGAGCAAAAAUACUUCUUACCAUUGACUAUUGAAUAUGAACACAAAAAAAAAGAAAACUACAUGGGCCUGAUGAUCAGUAAUGGUCUUACAGUAUUUUCUAUUGUGGCAAAUAAGCAGUGGCCUUAUGCCUGGGGAGUGAGACUGACAUGAAGCUUGAUGAAAAUAAGAUGGCAACUGCUCUAUUGAGGGUACAAACUGCAAGCAAAGAUUUAUUAUCACAGUAAGAGUCACAACUGAGGUCCAAGUCUGAGGUUUAUUCAAAUGCUGAAGCAUUUCAGAGUUUGAUCCUUGUAUUUAUCUUUUCCAGAUCUACUUACAAGGGAGAACUGGUGGGAUGUAAGUAUCUAUGUGUGUGUACAUGCAAAUAUUCCACGACAAACAAACAUUAGGUAGAAAAGGGUACACCCAAAAUGUCUGUCUAAAGGAAGCAUUUGAUUUUGCGCACCGUAAAAUUGCAAUGCAUGCGUCUCAUUACUGCAUGUCAUGUACUGAAAUGAGUUCACGUUUGAUGAGGAAAGUGAGGUGAAAUCAAUCUUAUUUUUCUGAUAAUGUUGCAGUGACCUUUCAAAAAGAAAAAAACUCACAACCCUCCCCAACAAAACAACCGAAUAAAAUGUGAUGCAAAGAAUAUGCCACAGUAGAAAGCUACAGGGAAUGCAGCAGUGAUCAAUUGCGAGCACAGUUUCUACCGUGCCUGGAAUAGCAUGUCCUGUUCAGCAAAUACCUUUCAACCACAGCCUUUCUUAAAAUUCUUUAUAAAGCUAGAACCAAUACACUGAAAAAACGUAAAUAAUAUUUGUUUAAUGACAGAAUACUUUGUUGGUAAUUGCGGAUUUCUCGUUGUCGAUGCAACAAUAUCUCAGCGCAUAAAGAAGUCUGAAUUUAAAAUCUGAUUAUGUUUUGAAGGUAGGAAAUACAGGGACAAGUACCGAGUCAGUGUAACUUUCCAUACCAUCAGUGAAACUGAGAUUAUUAGACUUCGUAGCUUAACUUAAUUGUAAUGUUCAGUUAUGUGCCUGUGUGCACUGUUGCGCUUCUCUUAUCAGAAGAUAUAUGGUGGAAAUAUAUUAUUAAAAAUCAUACAGGUGUUCCUAUAUAUUUGUGACAUUUAGAGAAUAAUGUCAUUAAAAUAUGAGUAAAUACAUAAAUUAUAUCAAAUUCUGAAGCAGCUCCUUUACAAACUAGAACUUUCUUGCAGUCAGGAGAAUAUCGUUCCCUUUAUUCUCUAACUGGUAUGGGUUUCUUUUGCUGGCUCUUAGAAAAAUGCAGAUUACAUUGGCUAAUGAUACAUAGAGAUCUACAGUCUUCUCUCUUAUUUCCAGCAGUGGAUAAUGGCUUUUUAAGUAACAUAUGGUAAAUAUGCUGAAGUAUUAUCAUUUUGUAAGAUUAAAUUGAAUAUAAAAGGCAAAUAUAAUUAUUCAGUGUUCAAUAAUAACUGAUGCGUUUGCGUGUCUAUCUUAAUACAAGAAAAAAGUACAGGUUUUUAAGUCUGAGUCUUUUGUGACAUUAAAGGUGUUAUAUGUGAAA